This 279-nucleotide ribosomal RNA is filed under the name uncultured bacterium. Its description in RNAcentral is "partial 16S ribosomal RNA". It matches the Rfam family "Bacterial small subunit ribosomal RNA", at positions 506 to 784 of the family's 1533-position model. The record is from RNAcentral.
UGCCAGCAGCCGCGGUAAUACGGAGGGUGCAAGCGUUGUUCGGAUUCACUGGGCGUAAAGGGCGUCUAGGCGGUUUAUUAAGCGUGGGGUGAAAUCCCAGAGCUCAACUCUGGAACUGCUUUACGAACUGGUAGACUUGAGUUGGUCAGGGGCAGGCAGAAUUCCCGGUGUAGAGGUGAUAUUCGUAGAUAUCGGGAGGAACGCCGGCGGCGAAAGCGGCCUGCUGGGACCAUACUGACGCUGAAGCGCGAAAGCGUAGGUAGCAAACAGGAUUAGAUA